AGGAUUCAAUUAAUCAGGCUUAUAAAAUGCUCAGCACAGUACCUGGCACACAGUAAGUACUUGAUGAGAAGACUAUGUUUCCCUCAAGCCACACAGCCAGCAUGUGGUGGAGCUGGAAUUUGUUGCCGGCUGAAUCUUCUGCCCCAGGACUCAGAACUUACAAAUUUUUGAACUCCUUUAAUUCCCUCUUUCCUUCCGAUUCCUUAGGAAUGAGCAUG
Molecule: long non-coding RNA, 218 nt
Organism: Symphalangus syndactylus (siamang)
Lineage: Eukaryota; Metazoa; Chordata; Mammalia; Primates; Hylobatidae
Source: RefSeq, a predicted model, not a curated record